This 787-nucleotide ribosomal RNA is filed under the name uncultured Staphylococcus sp. RNAcentral's name for it is "bacterial SSU rRNA". It matches the Rfam family "Bacterial small subunit ribosomal RNA", at positions 133 to 906 of the family's 1533-position model. The record is from RNAcentral. Lineage: Bacteria; Bacillati; Bacillota; Bacilli; Caryophanales; Staphylococcaceae.
UAAGACUGGGAUAACUUCGGGAAACCGGAGCUAAUGCCGGAUAACAUAUAGAACCGCAUGGUUCUAUAGUGAAAGAUGGUUUUGCUAUCACUUAUAGAUGGACCCGCGCCGUAUUAGCUAGUUGGUAAGGUAAUGGCUUACCAAGGCGACGAUACGUAGCCGACCUGAGAGGGUGAUCGGCCACACUGGAACUGAGACACGGUCCAGACUCCUACGGGAGGCAGCAGUAGGGAAUCUUCCGCAAUGGGCGAAAGCCUGACGGAGCAACGCCGCGUGAGUGAUGAAGGUUUUCGGAUCGUAAAACUCUGUUAUUAGGGAAGAACAAAUGCGUAAGUAACUGUGCGCAUCUUGACGGUACCUAAUCAGAAAGCCACGGCUAACUACGUGCCAGCAGCCGCGGUAAUACGUAGGUGGCAAGCGUUAUCCGGAAUUAUUGGGCGUAAAGCGCGCGUAGGCGGUUUCUUAAGUCUGAUGUGAAAGCCCACGGCUCAACCGUGGAGGGUCAUUGGAAACUGGGAAACUUGAGUGCAGAAGAGGGAAGUGGAAUUCCAUGUGUAGCGGUGAAAUGCGCAGAGAUAUGGAGGAACACCAGUGGCGAAGGCGACUUUCUGGUCUGUAACUGACGCUGAUGUGCGAAAGCGUGGGGAUCAAACAGGAUUAGAUACCCUGGUAGUCCACGCCGUAAACGAUGAGUGCUAAGUGUUAGGGGGUUUCCGCCCCUUAGUGCUGCAGCUAACGCAUUAAGCACUCCGCCUGGGGAGUACGACCGCAAGGUUGAAACUCAGAG